This 477-nucleotide unclassified non-coding RNA is filed under the name Hevea brasiliensis (rubber tree). The record is from RNAcentral. Lineage: Eukaryota; Viridiplantae; Streptophyta; Magnoliopsida; Malpighiales; Euphorbiaceae.
GGGUAUUAGAUUCUUGCUAGGUUUAGGAGUGUUGAGUCACAAUAGAGAAUUGAUGCCCGGAUGUCUCGGACUUGCCCUGUUAAUAGAGUUCUUAUGGGGACAAGAGUCUUUUCACAUUAGGAUUCUAACUCAGUAUGUGAGUAUCUUGGAAUCCCAUAUUUGGAAGAGGGAGAUCUUUGCCCGAGUAUCCUUGAGCGAGCAACUUCUAUGGGCGAUCGCCCUUGCUCCUUAUUCCUACAAAAUGGGUGAUCGCCUCGUGGGUAUGAUGAGCAACCUUUAUUUUAGUUGGGCGGGCGGAUGCCCUAUAGGUGAGUGGAAUUGGGGCGAGCAACAUCAAGCCUGUUUUCAUUUGGGUUACUCGAAUAGAUUAGGGUUUAGUUAUUUAAUGGGGCUUGGGCUCUUAUCUAUUAAGUCUCUUUGUUGCUUUGUAGAUUGGGCUACUUUAAUGGGCUUGUUGCUGUAUAACCCCUUCUUUUU